RNAcentral lists this ribosomal RNA (648 nucleotides) under uncultured bacterium. RNAcentral describes it as "bacterial SSU rRNA". It matches the Rfam family "Bacterial small subunit ribosomal RNA", at positions 69 to 753 of the family's 1533-position model. The record is from RNAcentral.
GGAAGUUUUCGGAUGGAAGUACUUAGUGGCGGACGGGUGAGUAACGCGUGGGAACCUGCCCUGUACCGGGGGAUAACACUUAGAAAUAGGUGCUAAUACCGCAUAAGUUCACAUGAGAAAAACUCCGGUGGUACAGGAUGGUCCCGCGUCUGAUUAGCCAGUUGGCAGGGUAACGGCCUACCAAAGCGACGAUCAGUAGCCGGCCUGAGAGGGUGAACGGCCACAUUGGGACUGAGACACGGCCCAAACUCAUACGGGAGGCAGCAGUGGGGAAUAUUGCACAAUGGGGGAAACCCUGAUGCAGCGACGCCGCGUGAGUGAAGAAGUAUUUCGGUAUGUAAAGCUCUAUCAGCAGGGAAGAAAAUGACGGUACCUGACUAAGAAGCCCCGGCUAACUACGUGCCAGCAGCCGCGGUAAUACGUAGGGGGCAAGCGUUAUCCGGAUUUACUGGGUGUAAAGGGAGCGUAGACGGCAUGACAAGCCAGAUGUGAAAACCCAGGGCUCAACCCUGGGACUGCAUUUGGAACUGCCAGGCUGGAGUGCAGGAGAGGUAAGCGGAAUUCCUAGUGUAGCGGUGAAAUGCGUAGAUAUUAGGAGGAACACCAGUGGCGAAGGCGGCUUACUGGACUGUAACUGACGUUGAGGCU